UAUUUUUUCUUCAAUAUCAUC
Molecule: non-coding RNA, 21 nt
Organism: Caenorhabditis elegans
Lineage: Eukaryota; Metazoa; Nematoda; Chromadorea; Rhabditida; Rhabditidae
Source: Ensembl